This 428-nucleotide ribosomal RNA is filed under the name uncultured prokaryote. RNAcentral describes it as "bacterial SSU rRNA". It matches the Rfam family "Bacterial small subunit ribosomal RNA", at positions 355 to 774 of the family's 1533-position model. The record is from RNAcentral.
UGGGGAAUCUUGCGCAAUGGGGGAAACCCUGACGCAGCAACGCCGCGUGAGUGAGGAAGGCCUUCGGGUCGUAAAGCUCUGUCAGAUGGGAAGAAAUGGGUGGGGGCUAAUAUCGUCCAUCCUUGACGGUACCAUCAGAGGAAGCACCGGCUAACUCCGUGCCAGCAGCCGCGGUAAUACGGGGGGUGCAAGCGUUGUUCGGAAUCAUUGGGCGUAAAGCGCGCGCAGGCGGCUUGGUAAGUCAGAUGUGAAAUCCCUGGGCUUAACCCAGGAAGUGCAUUUGAUACUGCCUCGCUAGAGUACGGGAGAGGAAAGUGGAAUUCCUGGUGUAGAGGUGAAAUUCGUAGAUAUCAGGAGGAACACCGGUGGCGAAGGCGACUUUCUGGCCCGAUACUGACGCUCAGGCGCGAAAGCGUGGGGAGCAAACA